Molecule: ribosomal RNA, 449 nt
Filed under: uncultured bacterium
Lineage: Bacteria
Description: bacterial SSU rRNA
Rfam family: Bacterial small subunit ribosomal RNA
Source: RNAcentral
AGCCCAGACUCCUACGGGAGGCAGCAGUGGGGAAUACUGCACAAUGGGGGAAACCCUGAUGCAGCAACGCCGCGUGAGUGAGGAAGUAUUUCGGUAUGUAAAGCUCUAUCAGCAGGGAAUAGAAAAGAAGGUACCUGAAAAAGAAGCCCCGGCUAACUACGUGCCAGCAGCCGCGGUAAUACGUAGGGGGCAAGCGUUAUCCGGAAUUACUGGGUGUAAAGGGAGCGUAGACGGUGAUGCGAGUCUGGAGUGAAAGGCGGGGGCCCAACCCCCGGACUGCUCUGGAAACUGUGUAACUUGAGUGCAGGAGAGGUAAGCGGAAUUCCUAGUGUAGCGGUGAAAUGCGUAGAUAUUAGGAGGAACACCAGUGGCGAAGGCGGCUUACUGGACUGUAACUGACGUUGAGGCUCGAAAGCGUGGGGAGCAAACAGGAUUAGAUACCCCUGUAC